CUGGCGGCGUGCCUAAUACAUGCAAGUCGAACGGUCUUUCUAUGGAAGCUUGCUUCCACUGAAAAGAUAGUGGCGAACGGGUGAGUAACACGUGGGGUAACCUGCCCAUAAGAGGGGGAUAACAUCCGGAAACGGGUGCUAAUACCGCAUAGUUUUCUUGAUCGCAUGAUCGGGAAAGGAAAGACGGCCUUUGUGCUGUCGCUUAUGGAUGGACCCGCGGCGUAUUAGUUAGUUGGUGAGGUAACGGCUCACCAAGACGAUGAUACGUAGCCGACCUGAGAGGGUGAUCGGCCACAUUGGGACUGAGACACGGCCCAAACUCCUACGGGAGGCAGCAGUAGGGAAUCUUCCGCAAUGGACGAAAGCCUGACGGAGCAACGCCGCGUGAGUGAAAGAAGGUUUUCGGAUCGUAAAACUCUGUUGUCAGAGAAGAACAAGUUGGAGAGUAACUGCUCCAGCCUUGACGGUAUCUGACCAGAAAGCCACGGCUAACUACGUGCCAGCCGCGGC
Molecule: ribosomal RNA, 510 nt
Filed under: uncultured bacterium
Lineage: Bacteria
Description: bacterial SSU rRNA
Rfam family: Bacterial small subunit ribosomal RNA
Source: RNAcentral